CUGUUCUUGUUUGUUGCCAUCAGGUCUAUUUGUGGCAUGCCCCAUAUUUGUGUCCACUCUGCUCAGGAAAUCUGCUAUGGAAUUCUGGAUCCCAGGAAGAUGUACAGCUGAUAUACCUGCUAGAUGUGUUUGCGUGAAGGCCAUCAGGGGUUUCAUUAUUGACAUCAUCUUUUGACUCCUGGUUCCUCCCUGAUGAUUUAUGUAGGCUACUAC
Molecule: non-coding RNA, 213 nt
Organism: Pelobates cultripes (western spadefoot toad)
Lineage: Eukaryota; Metazoa; Chordata; Amphibia; Anura; Pelobatidae
Source: the annotation of a GenBank genome assembly